GGGCACACAGCUCAGCGGCAGAGCACGUGCUUAACAUGCACGAGGUCCUGGGUUCUAUCUCCAGUACCUCCU
This 72-nucleotide transfer RNA is filed under the name Camelus bactrianus (Bactrian camel). It matches the Rfam family "tRNA". Rfam says of the family: Transfer RNA (tRNA) molecules are approximately 80 nucleotides in length. Their secondary structure includes four short double-helical elements and three loops (D, anti-codon, and T loops). RNAcentral also lists the same sequence under 2 other names. Lineage: Eukaryota; Metazoa; Chordata; Mammalia; Artiodactyla; Camelidae. The record is from Rfam by way of RNAcentral.